Molecule: ribosomal RNA, 402 nt
Filed under: uncultured bacterium
Lineage: Bacteria
Description: bacterial SSU rRNA
Rfam family: Bacterial small subunit ribosomal RNA
Source: RNAcentral
AACGAACGUUAGCGGCGCGCCUAACACAUGCAAGUCGCACGAGAAAGGGCUUCGGCCCCGGUACAGUGGCGCACGGGUGAGUAACACGUGGGUAAUCUGCCUUCGAGUGGGGGAUAACAUUCCGAAAGGAGUGCUAAUACCGCAUAAGACCACGCUCUCGAAAGAGAAAGCGGUCAAAGCUGGCCUCUAUAUAUAAGCUAGCGCUUGAGAAUGAGCCCGCGGAGCAUCAGCUAGUUGGUGAGGUAAUGGCUCACCAAGGCUUAGACGCUUAGCUGGUCUGAGAGGAUGAUCAGCCACACUGGAACUGAGACACGGUCCAGACUCCUACGGGAGGCAGCAGUGGGGAAUCUUGCGCAAUGGGCGAAAGCCUGACGCAGCGACGCCGCGUGAGUGAUGAAGGCC